This 440-nucleotide ribosomal RNA is filed under the name uncultured bacterium. Its description in RNAcentral is "bacterial SSU rRNA". It matches the Rfam family "Bacterial small subunit ribosomal RNA", at positions 338 to 795 of the family's 1533-position model. The record is from RNAcentral.
CCUACGGGGUGCAGCAGUGGGGAAUAUUGGACAAUGGGCGAAAGCCUGAUCCAGCAAUGCCGCGUGUGUGAAGAAGGUCUUCGGAUUGUAAAGCACUUUCGACGGGGACGAUGAUGACGGUACCCGUAGAGGAAGCCCCGGCUAACUUCGUGCCAGCAGCCGCGGUAAUACGAAGGGGGCUAGCGUUGCUCGGAAUGACUGGGCGUAAAGGGCGCGUAGGCGGUUUAUGCAGUCAGAUGUGAAAUCCCCGGGCUUAACCCGGGAACUGCAUUUGAGGCGCAUAGACUAGAGGUCGGGAGAGGGUUGUGGAAUUCCCAGUGUAGAGGUGAAAUUCGUGGAUAUUGGGAAGAACACCGGUGGCGAAGGCGGCAACCUGGCUCGAUACUGACGCUGAGGCGCGAAAGCGUGGGGAGCAGACAGGAUUAGAUACCCCCGUAGUC